This 252-nucleotide ribosomal RNA is filed under the name uncultured prokaryote. RNAcentral's name for it is "partial 16S ribosomal RNA". It matches the Rfam family "Bacterial small subunit ribosomal RNA", at positions 524 to 775 of the family's 1533-position model. The record is from RNAcentral.
UACGGAGGAUGCAAGCGUUAUCCGGAUUUAUUGGGUUUAAAGGGUGCGUAGGCGGCUUUUUAAGUCAGCGGUGAAAUUUUGCAGCUUAACUGUAACAGUGCCGUUGAUACUGCAUGGCUAGGAUUUGGUUGCUGUGGGUGGAAUGUGUGGUGUAGCGGUGAAAUGCUUAGAUAUCACACAGAAUAUCGAUUGCGAAGGCAGCUCACAAAGCCAAGAUUGACGCUGAGGCACGAAAGUGUGGGGAGUCAAACA